The sequence is a ribosomal RNA, 756 nucleotides long. It matches the Rfam family "Eukaryotic small subunit ribosomal RNA", at positions 928 to 1673 of the family's 1831-position model.
UAGCAAGUCGACCAAAGGCGAAAGCAGUCAUCAAGGGCACGCCCGUUGAUCAAGAGCGAAAGUUAAGGGUUCGAAGACGAUCAGAUACCGUCGUAGUCUUAACUAUAAAUGAUGCAAACCAGGGAUAGGACACUGUCCAUCUCGACUCUUUCUGGAUCUUAGAGAAAUCACAGUCUUUGGGUUCUGGGGGGAGUAUGGUCGCAAGGCUGAAACUUAAAGGAAUUGACGGAAGGGCACACAAAGAGUGGAACCUGCGGCUUAAUUUGACUCAACACGGGAAAACUCACCAGGUCCGGAUACACGUAUGAAAGUCAAGCUGAAAGACUUUACUCAAUGAUGUAAGUGGUGGUGCAUGGUCGUUCUUAGUUCGUGGAUUGAUUUGUCUGGUCGAUUCCGAUAACGAGCGAGACCCCGGUGUUCCUAAUAGGGGCAGAAGCCCGGCGGACCGCCUAAGAGGUCUGUCAGCUGCUGCUUAAGAAAAGCUUCUUAGACACAUCAGGGCCGAUAAGGUUCUUGAAAUGGGUUAAUAACAGGUCAGUCAUGCCCUUAGAUGUUCUGGGCCGCACGCGCGUUACAAUGGCGAGGAAAGAAAGUGCUCCGAAAAGGCGUUUCCUGGGCCUAACGGUCUGGGUAACCCUUAGUCCCUGCUUUGACUGGGAUAGAUCAUUGCAAUUAUUGGUCUCCAACGAGGAAUUUUUAGUAAGCACAGGUCAUUAACCUGUGCUUAAUGCGUCCCUGCCCUUUGUACACACCGCC